This 7816-nucleotide long non-coding RNA is filed under the name Zea mays. RNAcentral's name for it is "long non-coding RNA (ZMAY_LNC002444)". The record is from RNAcentral. Lineage: Eukaryota; Viridiplantae; Streptophyta; Magnoliopsida; Poales; Poaceae.
ACUAUUCCAUAUUGUGCCUAUUAGCUCGGAUCCUGUCCCAGCUCGUCGUUGUGUCAUUCACAGUCCAGUCGUCAAACCCGUCAUCUCCUGCUCAACCCCACCUCACCAGCUCGCUCAAGACUACAAUCGAAGGUCGUCGUCAAUCCGUGUGUCAUCAAGCAAUCUCAAGAAUCGGGUGAAGACGAAGUUAGCAGCGCGAUAUUUCCUAAGCGCUCGACAAAUUGCCUGAAUCGGAAAAGCGCUACCGAUCUCGUGGAUUUAUGUCAGCUGUGGAAACGGUAAGCUGAUAAAUUAUUCAGAAUAGUUCGAUCGAUAAAUAAAUUAAUGUGCUAGUGCGAUGCUCAUUAAGGUGCUCGAUAAAUUGCGCGAGUCACGAAACUCUCGUCGACUUCGCGGUUUUUGCGAGUAUCGAGCCAGAUUCAGUUAUAGCGAGUUAUGUCGCUAUUCCGGUCACUUAGCUGAAUUAGUGGACCGAGUAAAAUUUUGAUAGGCAUGUGUGAUGAUAAAAUAUUUUAAUCACCUAUAAAGAUGUAGUAUAAUUUAUAAGGCAAGGGAUUAGUUCAGAAUUUAAUUAAUUAACUGAUAACUGUGAUUAGGCUAAUUGUAUUUCUUGUGUACAGUUUGAUGUUCGUGAUGUUUGCGUUAGGUUCGAGAAGCGUAAUUAUUGCGCGUAGUCAUAUAUUAAUAACUAGUGUUUCCGUAUAAAAUUGUACAACGCCUCGGCGCUAGGUGUUUAAUUCACCGUCGUGUAGCCUUAUUUAGGUUUGUGAUAUUGUUGUUUAUAUGCAUUCAUGUGCAUUAUGCAAAUCAUUUAGGUACGUUGAUUAACCACGAGAUGCGGAGAGCUUGAGUCAAGUCGACCCCAAGCGUGGACUACUCCGCAUGGUCAAGCUGAUGGACCAACCUGAAGAUGGUUAAAUCAAGCGAAUGUUCGGUUGAGGGAUACUCGUCAAGCGGACGUCAUCUAACAAACACUAACAUAGUGUUUAUUCCAGGCAAGCCCCGGUGCAUGCAACCCCUUUCCUUGUGUUUUUAAAUACUUUUCGCACACUUUAAGUCUAGUGAAAUGUGCAUUAGGUUCAUAGGAGUUGCUUGGAACCCUUUGAUGCAUUGCUUUCCUUGAUAUCCAUACCUUUAUAGAUACUUCUGUGAAGUAUCAAAAUUAUGAUUUACAAAAAUGCUUAGCCUUGCUUAGAUCUUGUGGAUAGAGGUUGUCCUCAGUCUAACCCGGGAGAGGAUGGCUUCUACCUGCAAGAAUAUUUUCAUUUGGAGCAAUAGUGGGAUCUUACUGUAAAGUUCCCUGUGAUGCUCUUUCAUCCUAAGGAACAGACACAAUCCUAAGGAUGGAAAUACUUAAAUUGAGACUUGGGUUAGGAACAGGUGAUGUUCUACCCAGGUUGGUUAAGGAUUAAUGCGUAUGUAGGCGUGCUGACCGAGGACCCUUUAACUGGUCACAUGCCUCGUCAUGGGUAAGCCUUGCCUCGGGCAGACUAAGGCCAGAAUAAGAUAACACGAAAUGGGCGUGGAGCGGUGGCGAGAGUAGCGUGUACCCUCCGUGGCAAGAGGCUGGACGGUGGUGUAUCUGUGCUCUCGGUUUGCGUGAACCUGAUCUGGUCUUAAGAACCCCGGUGGUGGGUUGACAUAUGCAAGGGUUAAGUGCUACAUAUGUCGUGUGAUUGGAGAUCCUCAGCUGAGUAUAAUCGAUUCGGAUCGCCGUACCUUCGCGGUUAUGAAGACUUGGUCACUUUUCUACAACCUAAGUCAGGAUGUGAACCUCAUGAAUAAAAAUGAUGUUGUAUUGAUGAGAUGGUGAAAUUAGACUAGAUGCAAACAUAGUCUAUUAAUAUUUAAUCUGGCGUUAAAACAUUGAAAGUAAGGAUUCACUUUAGUAAGCUAUUUCUGCAAAAGUAUCUAAGUUGAUUCUUACUAAAGCCUCUCCUUGAUUCCUAUUUAUCCAGCAUAUCCUUGAGAGUCUUUUCCUUAGUCGGGUAAGACUUGCUGAGUAAUUCCAUACUCAGGGUUUUAUUCCCUGUUGUUUUUCAGGUUCUAACUUUGUGCUGUUGUUGAUGGUGUUAAGUGCCGGUGGGCUCGGCCUUCUUAUAAGUCUAAGUAACCCUUCUAUACUUCUUAUUGAGGAUGAUCCCUUGAGCUAGCAUAUAUUUCAAACUUAUACUUUUGUAAUCACUCCGAUAAACUAAUGUAAAAUUUUUGUAACCUGUAAAAUUUGGUAGUAAGAUUUCCGCUGCAACAAUAUUGGUGUGUGUGAUUUGUGUUACUUAAUCCCGCGGUUCUGGUUGUUCGUGGUUUAUCCGAUGUCCUUGGGGCAAUCGGACGGAUCCUGUUAAGUUAUCUGGUGCACAUGCAUAGCUGUCUGAGGUCUUUGAGACAAGGACAUGUGCAUGUGGGCCCAAUAACUUGGGAGGUUCUGCCACAGCUGGUAUCGGAGCUGGAUUAAGUAUAUACAGUCACAUACAUAUUUUCAAAACAAAAGUUUUGGUUUCGAAAAACCUAUUUUCAACUAAACAUAUUGUUUGGCUUUGAAAAAUAGUUUUGAAAAACUAUAAUGCUAGCGACAUCCUCUGUUAAGCCCUAAACUAAGGACUAUUAGGUGGCUUAGUUGAAAACCACUAACCCACAACCGGGUGGGUAUUGCAUACAUGUGUAUUGUUAUUUUUGAAAACCAUUCCGUUUGGAAUGGAUCGAUGCCCAAGGUAAGGUGAGUUGUGAGAGCAUGACCGAACAACCGUCGGUCUAGGGGAAUGCUUAAUUGUGGCGCUUGAUUAUAUACAUGUUCUAUAUUUGUAUAUAUGAAAGCUGCGAUGUGGAGUAAUUACUUUUCUGGGAAUUCAGUACCCCAUGGAUGUGUAUGGGCAUACAGACAUGGGAAUACUGAGAAGUGUAAUGUACUUGUAACGACGCACCUACGCUCAGGUAAGAAGGUGAGUUACCAUAAUGAGUUGCCCUAUGGUUAAAGUGUGGCAACAGCACCUAUGCGUGGCUCGGCGCUUAAUGAAGAGCUGGCCUCCAUAUAGCAAUAUAUGGAGUAUAAACUGUGAUAAACUGUCAUGUGUGAACUGCAUCAUUGGAAAUUGGGCUGUGAUGGAUUUUUCUGCAGGUACACUAACCUCGAAAACGUAUGUGUAGCUGACGACUAGAAAAAUACCGUGAGAGUCGUAAGAAUGCCACCGAUAUAGAACGUUAUUGCCACAUUUGGUUGGCAAAAUCAGUGAGGACGUGUAGGACGAGCAUGCAUCCUGAUUGUUGCAUCAUGUUUGUCACCUAUACACCCAAGAUGCUUCUCUCAUCUUUAUUCCAGUAACCAUUGAUUGUAGAUAAUAUGGUGUAAUGCUGAAUUAUGAACUUCGAUGAAAUAGGUGUCCUCCAUUCUUUAGGUAACCUAUUCAGGUCUUAUAUGGUGUUUGCUCUCGUGCUUGAUGUGCUGAUAGAAGGUUGGUAGUUGGUUGCUUAAACCCAAAAUUAGGCCAUGUUCUUAUUUAGUGAACCAUGACCCCAGAGUUGAAUUCUCCAUUAUCACUCCAUGACUAAACCCAUGCAAAUAAAUGCGUAGAUAAUUUCUUUGUUGGACAUAAAUUGUGCCUAGGCUUAAACAAGAAUCUCGAGUCAUGUUUCCUUCUAAAACCAUUCCCUUGUUUAUUGGUGCAAGCUGAUGUACCUUAACUAGUUCGCCUGUUCUUAAGGAUCGCCAUGUUGAAUUAUCAACCCAACCUAGGAAAAGUAUGUCCGACCAUUUUCUUGAAUUUGAUGCCUUUGAUUUCCCCCAUACCUAUCGAAGGCAUACCAACUUAAUCUUAUGAUUGUUUCCCCUCUGUAUCUAAUCAGAUACUAAUCCUUGACCCUUGUACUCUCUGCGAUGGGCAUAGAAAUAUACUUGGGGCUGAAGUAUCAGUCUCCCAUCGUACUCCCUCACCACCCAGUUUAGGUUAUGGCCAUGUCGUAUUCAUUUCAUCGGGCCAUAAUCUAUUUAGCUCUCUACUUGUAACCAUUCUUACAAGUGGAGUCUCUUUUGAAUAUUGUCAUCCAGACUCAGUCUAUUUGUGUGGCACGGGAUUUCUUAUUGGUUACGUCUAGUAAUGGUGUUAUGACUAAAACCGAUGGUGCCGUGACGAAACCGAGGGCCUCCUGUGAAUGUACACACAUGGUCGUGCUGCUCGGCACGCGCUGGUAUCACUGUUAGUAGUUGUAAUCCAUUAUGAGACUAUGUCAAUGUGUUAUCUUGAUACAAUCUGUUUUUGCUACGUGAGAUUCAUUAUUGGUGCCAGUUCGGUGAUGGUGUCAUGAUUAAGGACUUAUGGUGCCGCAGCGAAACUGAGAGCCCCUUGUGAAUGUACACGCAAGGUUAUGCUGCUUGGCGCAUGCUGGUAUCGAGGUCUCUGGUCAUGAUCCAUUGUGGAACUACACUUAUGUAUGAUCUUUCAUGGACUCCUUCCUUGAAACAAUUUCUAUGUUGUUUGUGAAGUGAUCAAGCAACAUCUAUCAUCUCAAUUGGAUCAAAAGGGCACACCACUUUCAUGUGUGGUCUUAUUUCUUUUGGUCUUGGUAGUGACUACUUAUACAUGUUCCCUUUACAUCCUUUGUGUAAAGGUGAAGCCUUUGGAGCUUUUUAGUGUUGGAGAAACAACUGAUUAGCUCUCAAAUUGGAGAUUGACUUUCCCUGCUGUUGAGAUGCAGGAGUUUGUUCAUUCGCUCUCCUAUUUUCCAUGUAUUUUUGAACCCAGUCCGUUCAUCUCACAUGAAGAAACGGAUGAACGACCUGACCAAAUGGACUUCUACCCAAAUGCAUGACCUUUGCGAGUAAAUGUGAACUCUCAACCCUUGGCUUACCGAAGGUACUGAGAGAACUUGCUCAAUGUCAAAAGUAGUUCAACAAGCUGGUUUUUACUAACUUGUAACUGCCUAAUGAACGAAGGUUGAGUUUAGAGAUCGUUUUGUCGAGUUGUCUAAACUCACUUUGGUUCAACUCACUCUAAAGAAAGUACUUACAAGAAUCGAGAUUAAGUCGAUUAGUAACCACCUAGUCAUCGCUCUAGUCGUGCCUUGAUCGCCUCACGUGUGCUUUUCCAGCAUGUGUGAUCAAGUCAAGCCGUGACUAGUGCUGGAUAAAAUGGACUGGUUGUAAAGUCCGGACCUACAGAUCCAUCCGCUGGUGAUUCUCUCGAAUCUAUACCAUCUUUUGUGGACUUGAAUUCUCGGGUUAGCCACAUGUUAACCGCGAUAGUAUUCGACAUCCACACCCGUCCCCUGUACUAUGAAUUUCCUGUAACCACUUGUUGGUAAACCUCUUUCUGUAUGUUUUACCCAAGAGGUUGCAUCUGGUUCUGUUUGGGUAAAAUCGCAUAUCUGGCGCUUGCUCAACAGACUCAGAUAGUACAGUGCCAUCAGAAAAAGCAAACUGCACACAUGGAACCUUAUGUGUUCCUCUGGCAGACAUCAUCUCUAUUGGUGGACAUUUCUAAAUUAGCCUAAGGCAAUACAUGUUAUGUCCACUAGAGAAACGACAUCCUGAGACACUUGCCUUCACUCAUAACUGCCUUAUGAUUCCCGCUGAUAUGGACGUGGGUUACAUGCUUCUCUACUCUUGAAAGUCUUUCGCUCCGAAUCUCGGGACGAGAUUCUUUUAAGGGGGGAGGGUUGUAACACCCCUGGUGUUUAUAUUCUGCUCGACAAUGAGUAUGGAUUUAAGCAUGUAAGAUCAGUGGAUAAAACAGAUAUUAAUUUUUAAUUAUCUUCGUCUAUCGCGAUUUUUAUAUCGCAUCUGUUUUGUCUGUCGCAAGUUCGACAUCGUUUUUAUUUUAUCUGGGCUCUUCCUAAAUUCUCGUGAUGUUCGGAACAUCGUCGUUCCGAAAAUCGGUGCGUCCGGUGAUUAUUUAAAAUUCAUCGCUCGCGCGAAUACGAAUUCGAAAGCACGACCCACUCGGACGAUUUUAUGCCGAGCAAAUUAGUUUGAACUCGACGACUAAAAUGUUUGGGGUAAAAUAAUCCAAAUCGUGCAUCGUCCGAGUGAAAUCGUGCGCGAGGUUAUGAUCCAAUUUAUCCUUCAGCACACUAUUUUGGCGACGAAGUCAAGUGUAUAUUAGCAGAUGAGAUUUAUCUGGUUUCAAUUAAAUCAAACACAGAGUAUGGAUGUAAGUAAGAAUUAUCGGUGAGGAUAAUGGUCUCUAUGUCCUAAUUACCUUCGUCUAUCAUUAAUUUGGAUCAACACAAAUUUGAUUUAAUCUGGAUUUAAAUUUAAGUUUGAAUCGAUAAUUCAAAAAUUUUGGUGACGCAUACUCAAGUUGAAUCAAGCUCUCAUUUAGUGUCUUAGAUAAGAAUCAUUAGAGGUAAUAAACGUUACAUUAUGGGCAAUAUAUAUACGUGUAUAUAUAGUUGGUAAAAAACGAAAAUGUGGAUAAAUCCUCCUUUUUCUUAUCCUUUAACCCACCGUUCAUGAAGCAGGAUUAUUCUUCACGUCACAUUACUCCUCAACGUGUCUUUUCUCUGGCCUAAUCCAUCCACGCUCGAUCUCCAGCACAAAAAAAUCUCUUCACGUCGGCAUCCAGCCCAACCAUCGUACGCGCCAGACUCUUCCAUCGCCUAGCUCGAUGCCCAGCGAGCGUCUGAUUUUUUCCACCGCCGCGCGCUGGUGUCCAUCUCCUGAAGAUUUUUUUCACCGGAUGCCUCUUCUUAUCCCCUCUCCUCUGAUAAUUCACGGUGUCGUCAGAUUUUUUUGCCGCUAACCGUACUGGCUUCAUCGGCUUCCUAGAAAAAUCACGCCGCUCGGAAAAAUCUCACCGCUGAACACUGCUAUUUUAUCUCCAGCCGAACUCCUCUCCGAGCUCAUCCGGCCUCUGCUCCUUCUGCUUCCUCCAUGUGCUGCACGCAGGUUCCCUGUUCAGCGCCCAUCUUCUCCAGCGCCGGCCGCUCCUCUCUGCCCCAGCCCGCCUCCAACUUCCAGCCGGCCGGAGCUCCUUCUCCCUUAGCCAGCGCCCAGCCCACCCGCUCUCCUUCCUCCUCCAGCUCCGGCGCCGUGAAACUUCCUGGUGUCGCGCUCCCGUUUCUCGACCACAGCUCGGAGCCCCUCCAUGGCCGCCGUCGAAGCUCUCUGCCGUGCCCUUGCCAGGCUCCCGCGCAAGCGUUGUUCUUCCCUGGCCCGCGCCGGCUCACUGCUCGGCCCUGCGCUUUCCCUUUCUCUGUGCUCGUGCUCGCCGUGUCGUGAGUCACUGGCCAGCAGUCCAGCUCGCCUCCACUUCCUACGUUCCCUGCUCCAGCUCUACUGUCGCGCGCAGCUCGCCCCUGCGCAGGUGAAUCGCCCUUGGUGCUGGUCGCGUGUUCCUCGCCCGGCUUGACCGCGACCUCGCCGUUGUUCCUCAGCUCGGCGCCUGCUGCUCGUUCCUGCUGCGCGUGUCAAGCUCCCUUUAACCGGUCGUCGUCGAGCUCCUCUAUUGCGCGCGUGAGGUUCUCUCGAGUUUUCUGGUCGAGUCUCGCCGCGCGUCCUGUUUCCUGCUCGCCAGCGUGCCCUCUCGGCUCGCUCGGCUUUAAAAUCCCUAUCUCGUCGUCGACCUCGCCACGACUUAGUUCGUCCGUCGUGCUGGUCACUAUUCCAUAUUGUGCCUAUUAGCUCGGAUCCUGUCCCAGCUCGUCGUUGUGUCAUUCACAGUCCAGUCGUCAAACCCGUCAUCUCCUGCUCAACCCCACCUCACCAGCUCGCUCAAGACUACAAUCGAAGGUCGUCGUCAAUCCGUGUGUCAUCAAGCAAUCUCAAGAAUCGGGUGAAGACGAAGUUAGCAGCGCGAUAUUCCCUAAGCGCUCGACAAAUUGC